GGAUAACUUACCCUUAGGACUGGGAUAACUCUGGGAAACUGGGGAUAAUACUGGAUAUUAGGCUAUGCCUGGAAUGGUUUGCCUUUGAAAUGUUUUUUCGCCUAAGGAUAGGUCUGCGGCUGAUUAGGUCGUUGGUGGGGUAAUGGCCCACCAAGCCGAUGAUCGGUACGGGUUGUGAGAGCAAGGGCCCGGAGAUGGAACCUGAGACAAGGUUCCAGACCCUACGGGGUGCAGCAGGCGCGAAACCUCCGCAAUGUACGAAAGUGCGACGGGGGGAUCCCAAGUGUUAUGCUUUUUUGUAUGACUUUUCAUUAGUGUAAAAAGCUUUUAGAAUAAGAGCUGGGCAAGACCGGUGCCAGCCGCCGCGGUAACACCGGCAGCUCGAGUGGUAGCUGUUUUUAUUGGGCCUAAAGCGUUCGUAGCCGGUUUGAUAAGUCUUUGGUGAAAGCUUGUAGCUUAACUAUAAGAAUUGCUGGAGAUACUAUUAGACUUGAAGUCGGGAGAGGUUAGAGGUACUACCGGGGUAGGGGUGAGAUCCUAUAAUCCUGGGAGGACCACCUGUGGCGAAGGCGUCUAACUGGAACGAUCUUGACGGUGAGUAACGAAAGCCAGGGGCGCGAACCGGAUUAGAUACCCGGGUAGUCCUGGCCGUAAACGAUGUGGACUUGGUGUUGGAAUGGCUUUGAGUUGUUCCGGUGCCGAAAGGGAAGCUGUUAAGUCCACCGCCUGGGAAGUACGGUCGCAAGACUGAAACUUA
RNAcentral lists this ribosomal RNA (757 nucleotides) under uncultured archaeon. RNAcentral's name for it is "bacterial SSU rRNA". It matches the Rfam family "Archaeal small subunit ribosomal RNA", at positions 102 to 858 of the family's 1478-position model. The record is from RNAcentral.